RNAcentral lists this unclassified non-coding RNA (309 nucleotides) under Hevea brasiliensis (rubber tree). The record is from RNAcentral. Lineage: Eukaryota; Viridiplantae; Streptophyta; Magnoliopsida; Malpighiales; Euphorbiaceae.
GAACUCCUUGCGUGAGGACACGUAGCAGACGACCUUCUCCCGUCUUUCUCCGUUUCACUAUGCACAUCUCCGGCUUUCGGCAAACCGAACGAAGAACAAAAACAAUAACACAACUUCGGAAAACACAGGAGCAAGUUCUGUACGCUGAUCGAUCUUUUGUACUCUAAAAUUCUUGAAUAAUCUUGCAAAUGGUGAAGCUAGCGUCGGCACGAGAGAACAGAAUGUACGGAACAAUGCUGGGUGGAAACAGAGCAAAAUACAUAAACACAGGACUUUAUGUGUUUGCUACCAUUGUUCUUAUAGCUGGCG